GACGAACGCUGGCGGCGUGCUUAACACAUGCAAGUCGAACGGUGAAGGGACCGGUUUUUGCUGGUUCUGGAUGAGUGGCGAACGGGUGAGUAACACGUGAGUAACCUGCCCCCUUCUUCUGGAUAACCGCAUGAAAGUGUGGCUAAUACGGGAUAUUCUGCGCCUGCUGCAUGGUGGGUGUGGGAAAGAUAUUGUUUCGGUGGGGGAUGGGCUCGCGGCCUAUCAGCUUGUUGGUGGGGUGAUGGCCUACCAAGGCGGUGACGGGUAGCCGGCCUGAGAGGGUGGACGGUCACACUGGGGCUGCGCCACGGCCCAGACUCCUACGGGAGGCAGCAGUGGGGAAUAUUGCACAAUGGGCGCAAGCCUGAUGCAGCGACGCCGCGUGAGGGAUGGAGGCCUUCGGGUUGUAAACCUCUUUCGCCAGUGAAGCAGGCCUGUCCCUUUUGUGGGUGGGUUGACGGUAGCUGGAUAAGAAGCGCCGGCUAACUACGUG
RNAcentral lists this ribosomal RNA (493 nucleotides) under uncultured bacterium. RNAcentral describes it as "partial 16S ribosomal RNA". It matches the Rfam family "Bacterial small subunit ribosomal RNA", at positions 28 to 507 of the family's 1533-position model. The record is from RNAcentral.